This 768-nucleotide ribosomal RNA is filed under the name uncultured soil bacterium. RNAcentral's name for it is "bacterial SSU rRNA". It matches the Rfam family "Bacterial small subunit ribosomal RNA", at positions 8 to 796 of the family's 1533-position model. The record is from RNAcentral.
AGAGUUUGAUCCUGGCUCAGGACGAACGCUGGCGGCGUGGAUUAGGCAUGCAAGUCGCGCGACGGACCUUCGGGUUACGGAGCGGCGAACGGGUGAGUAACACGUGAACAAUCUGUCCCCCCAUUCCGGAUAAUUGGUCGAAAGACCUUGUAAUACGGGCGAGGAUUUCUUUAGGGCAUCUUAGAGAAAGGGAAGGCGCAAGCCGUGUGGGGAGGAGUUCGCGGCCUAUCAGGUAGUUGGUGGGGUAAUGGCCUACCAAGCCUACGACGGGUAGCUGGUCUGAGAGGAUGGUCAGCCACAUUGGGACUGAGACACUGCCCAGACUCCUACGGGAGGCUGCAGUCGAGAAUCUUGGGCAAUGCACGAAAGUGUGACCCAGCGACGCCGCGUGAAGGAUGAAGGCCCUUGGGUCGUAAACUUCUUUUAUGGGGGAAGAAUCAAUGACGGUACCCCAUGAAUAAGCCACGGCUAACUACGUGCCAGCAGCCGCGGUAAUACGUAGGUGGCAAGCGUUGUCCGGAUUUACUGGGCGUAAAGCGUGCGCAGGCGGACUUUUAAGUAGAAAGUGAAAGGUUGGAGCUCAACUCCGACACUGCUUCCUAUACUGGGAGUCUUGAAUGCCGGAGAGGAAGAUGGAACGACACGUGUAGCGGUGAAAUGCGUUGAGAUGUGUCGGAACACCAAUGGCGAAAGCAAUCUUCUGGACGGAUAUUGACGCUCAUGCACGAAAGCUAAGGUAGCAAACAGGAUUAGAUACCCCGGUAGUCC